CUGAUAGCUCAGGAGACCGAGGCCCUCACUCUAUCCACAAAAGAUAUGCAGCAAGGCGCAGAGAUAAUUUUGACUGCCUCAUGUGUGUGUCUGAAUGUUGCCUUGGAAAAACCGCUUCCAAAAGAGAUAGUGGCCCUGAUUCUUUGCCCAUUUACCUCUUGAAAGAC
This 167-nucleotide small RNA is filed under the name Phascolarctos cinereus (koala). RNAcentral describes it as "TUC338 (ENSPCIG00000024120.2)". The record is from RNAcentral. Lineage: Eukaryota; Metazoa; Chordata; Mammalia; Diprotodontia; Phascolarctidae.